RNAcentral lists this ribosomal RNA (229 nucleotides) under Paraburkholderia guartelaensis. Its description in RNAcentral is "Paraburkholderia sp. CNPSo 3008 partial 23S ribosomal RNA". It matches the Rfam family "Bacterial large subunit ribosomal RNA", at positions 2709 to 2925 of the family's 2925-position model. Lineage: Bacteria; Pseudomonadati; Pseudomonadota; Betaproteobacteria; Burkholderiales; Burkholderiaceae. The record is from RNAcentral.
CUGGUGUACCGGUUGUGACGCCAGUCGCAUCGCCGGGUAGCUAUGUUCGGAAGAGAUAACCGCUGAAAGCAUCUAAGCGGGAAACUCGCCUCAAGAUGAGACUUCCCCGGGGACUAGAUCCCCUUGAAGGGUCGUUCGAGACCAGGACGUUGAUAGGUCAGGUGUGGAAGCGCAGUAAUGCGUUAAGCUAACUGAUACUAAUUGCCCGUAAGGCUUGAUCCUAUAACAG